GACGAACCGUGCGAACGUUGUUCGGAUUCACUGGGCUUAAAGGGCGCGUAGGCGGGCGAGCGAGUCCGGGGUGAAAGCGCCCGGCUUAACCGGGCAAGGGCCUCGGAGACCGCUCGCCUUGAGGGAGGUAGGGGCAGGCGGAACUUCCGGUGGAGCGGUGAAAUGCGUUGAUAUCGGAAGGAACGCCGGUGGCGAAAGCGGCCUGCUGGACAUCUACUGACGCUGAGGCGCGAAAGCCAGGGGAGCGAACGGGAUUAGAUACCCCGGUAGUCCUGGCCCUAAACGAUGGGUACUAGGUAGCGGACUUGACAUGGGUUCGCUGCCGGAGCCAAAGUGUUAAGUACCCCGCCUGGGGAGUAUGGUCGCAAGGCUGAA
RNAcentral lists this ribosomal RNA (375 nucleotides) under uncultured bacterium. RNAcentral's name for it is "bacterial SSU rRNA". It matches the Rfam family "Bacterial small subunit ribosomal RNA", at positions 524 to 898 of the family's 1533-position model. The record is from RNAcentral.